GACGAACGCUGGCGGCGUGCUUAAUACAUGCAAGUCGAACGAUGAUGCCAGCUUGCUGGUGGAUUAGUGGCGAACGGGUGAGUAACACGUGAGCAACCUGCCCCUGACUUCGGGAUAACCGCGGGAAACCGUGGCUAAUACCGGAUAUGACGCGCUAUCGCAUGGUGGUGUGUGGAAAGAUUUAUCGGUUGGGGAUGGGCUCGCGGCCUAUCAGCUUGUUGGUGGGGUGAUGGCCUACCAAGGCGACGACGGGUAGCCGGCCUGAGAGGGUGACCGGCCACACUGGGACUGAGACACGGCCCAGACUCCUACGGGAGGCAGCAGUGGGGAAUAUUGCACAAUGGGCGCAAGCCUGAUGCAGCGACGCCGCGUGAGGGAUGACGGCCUUCGGGUUGUAAACCUCUUUCAGUAGGGAAGAAGGCCUUCGGGUUGACGGUACCUGCAGAAGAAGCGCCGGCUAACUACGUG
This 468-nucleotide ribosomal RNA is filed under the name uncultured bacterium. Its description in RNAcentral is "partial 16S ribosomal RNA". It matches the Rfam family "Bacterial small subunit ribosomal RNA", at positions 28 to 507 of the family's 1533-position model. The record is from RNAcentral.